This 1219-nucleotide long non-coding RNA is filed under the name Sus scrofa (pig). RNAcentral describes it as "lncRNA (ENSSSCG00055024190.1)". Lineage: Eukaryota; Metazoa; Chordata; Mammalia; Artiodactyla; Suidae. The record is from RNAcentral.
ACACAAAGAGGCUUCUGACCGAGAGACGGCAAUUAAGCUCAUGCAGAAAUUAGCAGACCGGGGCAUUAUUCAUCACGUGUGUGACGAGCAUAAGGAAUUCAAGGAUGUCAAACUCUUCUACCGCUUUAGAAAGGAUGACGGCACCUUCCCACUGGACAAUGAAGUGAAGGCCUUCAUGAGAGGACAGAGGCUGUAUGAGAACCUGGCUCUUACAUGUGGGGUGGUUACAUAACUGUUCCUUUUGAUAUGAGAAAACCCAAUCACUCACUUGCCUUUCUCUUUGCCAGAAAUCAAGUUGAUGUCAUAAGAUUCUUAGUAAAGAAUUUAUUUAAACAGUAUUUUCUAUAUUUAGGUCAAUUUAACAAGACUGCGGAAGUAAAAGCAAAACUUUGGCACUUGAUGUUUGCCAUCAAGGGAUGCAGUUGCCUCUUCUCUUUUAAAUACGGGUGUAUGACAUGGAGGUUUGGUCUUGUAACUGGCUAGAAGCAGUGUCAAGGACAGGGGCAGUUCCAGUUCAGGUCAAGAGAUGAGUAGUGAGAGAAGUCCGAUAGCAGGAUGGCCUGCGAGGAAUUCCCUCUCAGCUCCUUGGAAGAGAUGAGUGUACUGUGUAACCCUGGAGUAUUUGGUUGGUGGAUCUUGAAUCUCUCAGUGGUUUGUCUCUGAGCUGAUCUGCUAUUUCUGCAGUCCCUUUCCUAGCCUGCCUGCCUUGUUUUUCAGGGCAGCCCUUACAGGGAAAGAGUGCAGGGGUAGUGACACCUGUUUCUUAACUGCAGUUACCCUUUCAAAACAUUUAUAAUAUAGAAGAGCCUACUCUGUAAGUGGGUUGGUGCGUGGGGCAGAGGCACCUCAGAGGUCAGAUUGAGUGGCAUGAUGGUUAGGAAUCCAACAAGGUUUGAAUUCUAGCCCUGCUACCUCUGAAAACCUCAGCAUCCUCUUUUAUGAUAUGGGAGUGGGUGAUAGCACCUACCUCCUAGGUGUUUAAUGCUAUUCUGGGAAUUAAAAAAAUAAAUUGGAGUUCCUGUUGUGGCUCAGUGGGUUAAGAACCUCACUAGUAUCCAUAAGGAUGUGGGUUCGAUCCCUGGCCUUGCUCCGUGGGUUAAGGAUCAGACGUUGCUGAAAGCUGCAGCGUAGGUCAAAGACAUGGCUGUGGCGUAGGCCUGCAGCUGCAGCUCCAAUUCAACCCCUAGCCUGGGAACUUCCAUAUUGCACAGGUGUGGCC